This 1599-nucleotide long non-coding RNA is filed under the name Heterocephalus glaber (naked mole-rat). RNAcentral's name for it is "lncRNA (ENSHGLG00100048572.1)". Lineage: Eukaryota; Metazoa; Chordata; Mammalia; Rodentia; Bathyergidae. The record is from RNAcentral.
AGCAGGGGAGAGGAAGGUGGUGUACGGCUGCAGAGGACAGGUGUCACUGCAGCCUUGGAGAAGUGGAGAGCAAAGGCAGGAGGGAAUGUGCCCAGGAGGCUGGCCCCUCCGCCUCGCUUCUCUGCCAUGGACUGUGGGCUGAAGCGGGAGCCUGAAUAACCUCUCCUGUAAGUUAGAGGUGGCGGGUGUUGUGUCCCAGCGACGGGAAGGUGACUAGGACGGCGUAGAACUCAGGCCCCAGUGCACCCGCCGGCUGGACACCUUGGGGAAAGGACUGGAGCCGCCCUGUCCCCGCUGGAUGCCAUUCAUUCCUCGUCCUUUGCAGUUUGAUGAGACCUGGACUCCAGGGACUUGUGAGUGACACCCAGGUGGGCCGUGCUGUGUCACUGCCCCCUCCAGCCCCAGUGUCCCCCCAAGGGUCACGACUGCCCCCUCCAGCCCCAGCCCUUGGCACAGUGCCUGUGACAGAUGAAUGAAUGAGCAGUGAGUGCUCCCUGCUGCUCCUGGACCCUGGGGGCCAUGGCUUCUCCGUCCAGGCUUCGUCCCAUUCUGCUGGGCCUGGCAGCUGGCAGGGGCAGGAGAGGCUGAUGUCUCCCCUUGCUCCUCGCCUGCGCCCCCUUCACUCUGACUGUUGCUAACACGGGAAGGUGGAGGGGCCUUGUGCUCCCCAAAGAGCCCUCUGCAUCCUGUGGGGUUCUGAUGACCACGAACUGUCAUGUUCUUAUGCUUUUCAAGUCAAUUCACAUCUUUUCUUUUCGGCAGUACUGGGGACUGACCCCAGGCCUUCACAUUGACCCACAUCUGCAGCAACCCCCCCCCCCAUUUUUUUUUUUUUUUGGUACCGGGGAUCAAACUCAGGUCCUUGCGCUUGCAAGGCAGGUGACAGAACCUCUGAGCUAAAUCCCCGGCCCCAUCAUCCCCCUCCUUUUGAGACAGGGUCUCACUGUAUAGUUCAGGCUGGCCUUGAACUCAUUAUGGAGCCCUGGCUGCCUCGAACUCAUGGCAAUCCUCUUGCCUCAGCCUCCUGAGUACAGGUGUGCACCACCACGUUCAGCAUCCCCAGCCCUUUUAUAUUUUGUAUUUUGAGACAGGGUCUCUCUAUGUUGCCCAGGAUAGGCACGAACUUAGGAUCCUCCUCCCUCAGCCUCCCAGAGUGCUGGGAUGACAGGUGAGCCCCACCACCUGGCUAAUUCACGACUUCUUGCUGAGGCCCACCUGCCUUCCCCACCUGCACACCCUGGGGCCCAGCUCCCCGUUUUCCCAGCCAGGGGACUUGGACCCACUUCACGGAGCAUGGGAACCUCUGGUCUACAGCAGAACUCCUGUGAAACCGUAGGUUUGCUGUGUGGUCUACACCGCUGGCUGUGAGUCCAACAUCCAUGCUCCCCUCUGGCUUUACUAAUAAAACCUAAUUCUGUUCAGAACAGAACAGUGGCACCGGUCUACACUCUGUUUUCUUGCUUCCUCUGCAAGCAGGGGCCGCCCCCCAACACAGCUCUGGCCAGUAAGACAUUAGCGGGUGUCAACAGGUAGGGAUAGGGAGGCAGAAGUCAGCACUUUGCCUGUGCUCUUUCCCUUCUCUCUGCCUGGAACACAGAU